This 932-nucleotide small RNA is filed under the name Rattus norvegicus (Norway rat). RNAcentral describes it as "uncharacterized LOC108351059". Lineage: Eukaryota; Metazoa; Chordata; Mammalia; Rodentia; Muridae. The record is from RNAcentral.
AUUUGGUGCCAGGAUUUAGUCACGGGUUCGGGGGACCUGGAACAUUCUGUGUCCGGAGAAAUGAGCCCUUGGCUUGGCCGUCACUCAGCUGCCAACUUGCUACAAACAGAACCAGACUCACAGGGGCCUAGUGUGAGCAGGAGUCUAAGGCUUCCAUUCAGCUCAUCCUGGACUUCAGACUUGACUUCAUCCUGUCUGAGCAGCCUCUGGAAACCAGGGACGUCCCCAGAGGCUGCCUCUGCAACCAGGGACGUCCCCAGAGGCUGCCUCUGUUCAGGCUAUGCACCUGUCAUCUCUGAAUUCUGUGGCUCUGGUGACUCAGGUGAACCGGAGGGAAAAACAGAGAUGGGAUGGAAUUCAGCCAGGCUUUGGAUGGGAAGAUUGAGCAAGGACCAAACUCCGUGGGAGAGUUGAACGCAGCGGACCUCGGGCUGGCAUGAGUGCACCCAAGCUUGCCACAGAGACCAAAAGAGAGAUCUCAGGGCUCUGGAGAGACAGAGCUGGUGUUUAUGGGAGAGGCAUUGGCAAGAAGAAACACCGGACUAGGAACAGACAGAGACCUCCAAUGCCAGUGCUUAGCCAGUUAGCAUGGUUUUUUUUUUUUUAACUACACACUACCAUGGGCCACCCAAUGUGUCUUUCUAGGGAAUUUUGAAACAGUCAUAAUUGAACAGGGAGGAAAUAGUUAAAAUUGAUUACGUAGCCAUAAUCUCAUUUGGUUGAAAUCUUUAUAAUUGUUACAAAGUUGAAGUUUUAAUUUUUUACAUUGGUAUAAAAUUUAUUUUGAUACAGAUUUAAUGUUUUCAUGGUAUGAGUUUCUUCUAUCGAUACAAAAAUUUAAGAAUGCAAAGCUUAGACGCAGUCCUUCUAUAACUACCAUUAGAAACUGUUUCUAGAUGAUUAAACAUGGAAGUUAAGGGCCAGAUAACAAA